RNAcentral lists this long non-coding RNA (997 nucleotides) under Mustela putorius furo (domestic ferret). RNAcentral's name for it is "lncRNA (ENSMPUG00000029470.1)". The record is from RNAcentral. Lineage: Eukaryota; Metazoa; Chordata; Mammalia; Carnivora; Mustelidae.
CGGAAAGGUAGAGCAAAGCAUCCAAUUCCAGCCCUGCUUACUUGAAAAGAAUUGCUUGGGCUUCCUUUCCUGCCUUCUCCUACGGGCUUCCUGAUACAGCAACGCCACUCUGGAAAUGAAGGUGAAACACAAGAACACAACAGGGGUGUGGAGGGGGCAGGGGUGUAUCUCCUGGAAUGAUUACAGAACACAAACCUGCCCCCUCAGCACAGACCAGCCCAGAAAGUUAAAUAAGAAGUAAAUAAUUUUCGGGGUGCCGGAGUGGCUCCGGCAGUUAAGCAUCUGACUCUUAAUUUCGGCCCAGGUCGUAUCUCAGGGUUGUGAGAUGGAGCCCCAUGUUGGACCCACCUUGAGAUUCUCUCUCCCUCUCUCACUGCCCCCUCACCCCCCUCAAAAAAAAAAAAACCCAAAAGGCAAAGGAGCUAAUAAUGGUCAAUUCAAAGAAAAUGAAAUGUUAAUCUAUGAAGAAAAAUCAAACCUUACUCAUAAGAAGGAAAAUGAAAAUGAUAUAUUAUUUCUCACUAUCAGAAAAAGACCAGCAGUCAGAGAUCCUUUUGGCCAGGGAGAAAAAGGCACUGAUAAUAUUUAACUAAAGUAUUAAAAUUCAUGUUUCCCCCAGAAAUUCUAGUUCCACAUGUGCAAAAUCAGGAUAUAAAGGGUCAUUCAUAAUUGCCAAUAUUUGCGAUAGCAAAAUACUGGGAAAAUUGCCAACAGGAAACCGGUGAAAUUACAGGAUUACAUCUACAACUGAGUAUUAAAAAUCAUAAAAAUGAAGAAGACAAUGCUUUAAGUUAAGUGUGGAACAUUACCAAAGACACACUGUUGGGAGGCCUGGGUGGCUCAGUGGGUUAAAGCCGCUGCCUUCAGCUCAGGUCAUGAUCUCAGGGUCCUGGGAUCAAGCCCCAUAUCAGGCUCUCUGCUCAGCAGGGAGCCUGCUUCCCCCUCCCCCUCUGCUGCCUCUCUGCCUACUUGUGAUCUCUCUCUCUGUCAAAUAAAU